This 424-nucleotide ribosomal RNA is filed under the name uncultured bacterium. Its description in RNAcentral is "bacterial SSU rRNA". It matches the Rfam family "Bacterial small subunit ribosomal RNA", at positions 96 to 507 of the family's 1533-position model. The record is from RNAcentral.
UGGCGUAACGGGUGAGUAAUAGUAUCGGAACGUACCUUUCGAGUGGGGGAUAACGUAGCGAAAGUUACGCUAAUAACCGCCAUAUUCUGUGAGCAGGAAAGCAGGGGAUCGCAAGACCCUUGCGCUGAUUGAGCGGCCGAUAUCAGAUUAGCUAGUUGGUGAGGUAAAGGCUUACCAAGGCGACGAUCUGUAGCGGGUCUGAGAGGAUGAUCCGCCACACUGGAACUGAGACACGGUCCAGACUCCUACGGGAGGCAGCAGUGGGGAAUUUUUGGACAAUGGGCGCCAAGCCUGAUCCCAGCCAUGCCGCGUGAGUGAAGAAGGCCUUCGGGUUGUAAAGCUCUUUCGGCCGGGAAGAAAUCGCACAGGUUAAUACCCUGUGUGGAUGACGGUACCGGAAUAAGAAGCACCGGCUAACUACGUG